UACGUAGGGGGCAAGCGUUGUCCGGAAUUAUUGGGCGUAAGGAGCGCGUAGGCGGUCCGAUAAGUCGGCUGUGAAAGUCAGGGGCUCAACCCUUGAAAGCCGGCCGAUACUGUCGGACUAGAGUCCGGAAGAGGCGAGUGGAAUUCCCGGUGUAGCGGUGAAAUGCGCAGAUAUCGGGAGGAACACCAGUGGCGAAGGCGACUACCUGGCCUGUUCUUGACGCUGAGGAGCGAAAGCGUGGGGAGCGAACAGG
RNAcentral lists this ribosomal RNA (253 nucleotides) under uncultured bacterium. RNAcentral's name for it is "partial 16S ribosomal RNA". It matches the Rfam family "Bacterial small subunit ribosomal RNA", at positions 524 to 776 of the family's 1533-position model. The record is from RNAcentral.